AUACGGAGGGUGCAAGCGUUAUUCGGAAUCACUGGGCGUAAAGGGUGCGUAGGCGGUUUGAUAAGUCUGAUGUGAAAUCCUAUGGCUCAACCAUAGAACUGCAUUGGAAACUGUCAGACUAGAAUACUGAAGGGGCAGAUGGAAUUAGUGGUGUAGGGGUAAAAUCCGUAGAUAUCACUAGGAAUACCGAAAGCGAAAGUGAUCUGCUGGGAAGUUAUUGACGCUGAGGCACGAAAGCGUGGGGAGCAAACGGGAUUAGAAACCCUAGUAGUCC
Molecule: ribosomal RNA, 274 nt
Filed under: uncultured bacterium
Lineage: Bacteria
Description: partial 16S ribosomal RNA
Rfam family: Bacterial small subunit ribosomal RNA
Source: RNAcentral